UUUAGAAACCUCUCAAUAAUCUAUUUAAAAACUUAAAAUUUCUUGAAAAAAUUUAAAAGAAAAUUCGAGUAGGCGAAGCGAGAAUAUUCAUCAAUUUCAAAACUAAGAAGUUCAAGUCGAAGAAAAAAUUGUUUUCUAAAUAUAUUUGGAAUUCUUGUAGGCGAAGGCAUUUCUGUAUCCCAUAUAAGUUCUAUACAGCUCCCAAGUAUGGAUACCAACAAAGGAUCUUGCGGUAGAUCAGAGGACUGGCGCAAAACCUCAUAUGUCCAUACCAUUUUUGAGUAUUUGAUAAAGAAUUUGACGAUACCGACGGAUAUGGGAACACUGAUUGCCUAUGUGAUAUUACUUUUUAUCACAUUUUAUGUAAUUGCCGCUGUGUGCCGAUUCCUAAUCUCUCUAUUUUGGCCCAUUGUCAUUGUGAUGGCCACUUACUUUCUAUUUUAUUAUCUGGAAACAACUGUCCUGUAAUAUAUUCGCACUUUUCGUCUAGCUAAAGAAGAAAAGCUUUAUUCAAG
Drosophila willistoni is the source of this 515-nucleotide long non-coding RNA. RefSeq lists it as uncharacterized. The record is from RefSeq and is a predicted model, not a curated record. The transcript has 2 exons. NCBI's taxonomy places the organism in Eukaryota, Metazoa, Arthropoda, Insecta, Diptera, Drosophilidae.